This 465-nucleotide ribosomal RNA is filed under the name uncultured bacterium. Its description in RNAcentral is "partial 16S ribosomal RNA". It matches the Rfam family "Bacterial small subunit ribosomal RNA", at positions 28 to 507 of the family's 1533-position model. The record is from RNAcentral.
GAUGAACGCUGGCGGCGUGCUUAACACAUGCAAGUCGAACGGAAAGGCUCCUGCUUGCAGGGGUACUCGAGUGGCGAACGGGUGAGUAACACGUGGGUGAUCUGCCCUGCACUUCGGGAUAAGCCUGGGAAACUGGGUCUAAUACCGGAUAGGACGAUGGUUUGGAUGCCAUUGUGGAAAGUUUUUCGGUGUGGGAUGUGCUCGCGGCCUAUCAGCUUGUUGGUGGGGUAAUGGCCUACCAAGGCGUCGACGGGUAGCCGGCCUGAGAGGGUGUACGGCCACAUUGGGACUGAGAUGCGACCCAGACUCCUACGGGAGGCAGCAGUGGAGAAUAUUGCACAAUGGGCGCAAGCCUGAUGCAGCAACGCCGCGUGGUGGAUGACGGCCUUCGGGUUGUAAUCUCCUUUCGCUAGGGACGAAGCGCAAGUGACGGUACCUGGAGAAGAAGCACCGGCUAACUACGUG